GACGAACGCUGGCGGCGUGCUUAACACAUGCAAGUCGAACGGAAAGUCCCUGCUUUUGUGCGGUGCUCGGGUUGCGAACGGGUGAGUAACACUUCUGUACCCUGCCCUUGUCUUUGAGAUAACGUCAUGACACUUAGGCUAAUACCGGAUAGGAGCUCCUGCUGCAUGAUGAGGGUUGGAAAGUUUCGGCGGUUGGGGAUGGACUCGCGGCUUAUCAGCUUGUUGGUGGGGUAGUGGCUUACCAAGGCUUUGCCGGGUAGCCGGGCUGAUCGGGUGACAGGACACACUAGGACUGGGAUACGGCCCAGACUCCUACGGGAGGCAGCAGUGGGGAAGAUUACACAAGGGGCGGAAGCCUGAUGUAGCCACGCCGCGUGCGGGAUGAGGGCCAUCGGGUUGUAAAGCGAUUUCGCCUGUGAUGAAGAGUGAGUGACGGUAAUGGGUAAAGAAGCACCGGCUAACUACGUG
This 468-nucleotide ribosomal RNA is filed under the name uncultured bacterium. Its description in RNAcentral is "partial 16S ribosomal RNA". It matches the Rfam family "Bacterial small subunit ribosomal RNA", at positions 28 to 507 of the family's 1533-position model. The record is from RNAcentral.